Molecule: ribosomal RNA, 449 nt
Filed under: uncultured bacterium
Lineage: Bacteria
Description: SSU rRNA
Rfam family: Bacterial small subunit ribosomal RNA
Source: RNAcentral
AGAGCGAACGCUGGCGGCAGGCUUAACACAUGCAAGUCGAGCGGGCGUAGCAAUACGUCAGCGGCAGACGGGUGAGUAACGCGUGGGAACGUACCUUUUGGUUCGGAACAACACAGGGAAACUUGUGCUAAUACCGGAUAAGCCCUUACGGGGAAAGAUUUAUCGCCGAAAGAUCGGCCCGCGUCUGAUUAGCUAGUUGGUGAGGUAACGGCUCACCAAGGCGACGAUCAGUAGCUGGUCUGAGAGGAUGAUCAGCCACAUUGGGACUGAGACACGGCCCAAACUCCUACGGGAGGCAGCAGUGGGGAAUAUUGGACAAUGGGCGCAAGCCUGAUCCAGCCAUGCCGCGUGAGUGAUGAAGGCCCUAGGGUUGUAAAGCUCUUUUGUGCGGGAAGAUAAUGACGGUACCGCAAGGAAUAAGCCCCGGCUAACUUCGUGCCAGCAGCCGC